CCUACGGGUGGCAGCAGUGGGGGAUAUUGCACAAUGGGGGAAACCCUGAUGCAGCGACGCCGCGUGGGUGAAGAAGCGCCUCGGCGCGUAAAGCCCUGUCAGCAGGGAAGAAAAUGACGGUACCUGAAGAAGAAGCCCCGGCUAACUACGUGCCAGCAGACGCGGUAAUACGUAGGGGGCAAGCGUUCUCCUGAUUUACUGGGUGUAAAGGGGCCGAAGACGGCGCUGCAAGCCAGGAGUGAAAGCCCGGGGCACAACCCCGGGACUGCUCUUGGAACUGCGUGGCUAGAGUGCAGGAGGGGCAGGCGGAAUUCCUGGUGUAGCGGUGAAAUGCGUAGAUAUCAGGAGGAACACCGGUGGCGAAGGCGGCCUGCUGGACUGCAACUGACGUUGAGGCCCGAAAGCGUGGGGAGCAAACAGGAUUAGAUACCCCUGUAGUC
RNAcentral lists this ribosomal RNA (440 nucleotides) under uncultured bacterium. RNAcentral describes it as "partial 16S ribosomal RNA". It matches the Rfam family "Bacterial small subunit ribosomal RNA", at positions 338 to 795 of the family's 1533-position model. The record is from RNAcentral.